RNAcentral lists this small RNA (134 nucleotides) under Escherichia coli. Its description in RNAcentral is "RtT sRNA". It matches the Rfam family "RtT RNA". Rfam says of the family: This family represents a bacterial cis-regulatory element known as RtT RNA. RNAcentral also lists the same sequence under 1 other name. Lineage: Bacteria; Pseudomonadati; Pseudomonadota; Gammaproteobacteria; Enterobacterales; Enterobacteriaceae. The record is from RNAcentral.
UGCAUCUGCAGCCUAUGAGGAUGAGAACCUCCGGGGGCAGGGAGGUUCGACUCGAGCGAAGCGAGAGAACGUUGCGCCAGCAACGGCCCGCAGGGCGAGCCACGAAGUGGCGAGUAAUCCUCUAUCACCGACCA